CCAACUAAGUUUGUUCUGGGUAUAAGCUUUUGUGUGCAUGCACACUUCUUCAGAUGCACAUGAAAGCUUAUACCCAGGACAAACUUAGUUGG
Podarcis lilfordi (Lilford's wall lizard) is the source of this 92-nucleotide non-coding RNA. NCBI's taxonomy places the organism in Eukaryota, Metazoa, Chordata, Lepidosauria, Squamata, Lacertidae. The record is from the annotation of a GenBank genome assembly.